This 3470-nucleotide long non-coding RNA is filed under the name Zostera marina. RNAcentral's name for it is "long non-coding RNA (ZMAR_LNC000526)". Lineage: Eukaryota; Viridiplantae; Streptophyta; Magnoliopsida; Alismatales; Zosteraceae. The record is from RNAcentral.
GUGGAAGUACCACAUUACAUUCAAAAAGGGUUUUUUCAAUCAAUUUUUCCCUGUUUGAUAAUUUAGAGUAGUCUACAACAAUGGAUUUACCAUAAUCGUUUUGAUAUCUAGAAUCUAAAGACCUGGUUUCUUCAAAUCCCAAUGCAUUUUGGACGUGGGACGGUAACUCUAAGUAUUUUCUUACAAUCUUGUGCUGUCGUUUUCCUGUGGCUAUGGUUUCUGAAUUUUUAUCAGGUGAUGCCUUCAUGUAAAAUUUUGCAGAACAUAGUUUGGGUUCUUCUAACACGUUCGGCAGUUUUUUCGUAAGAUUGUAUGGUUCAUCGAAUUGGAGCUUUUGACCUUAUAUUUUUGAUGCAGUACAUUACAAUUUUGCAGAACAUAGUCUGGUCACAGGAAUAAUCUCUUCUCACAGGAAUAGUGUCAUGAUUUGCACGCGCAUGGUUUUCGAUUUGCACUUCUUUUUAUUGACACUUCUGGGAUUUACAAAUCUAAGAUUCAUUUUUUCCUUCUGCAGAUUAAUAUCUUUGAGUGUAAGAUUCAUUUUUUCCUUCUGCAGAUUAAUAUUUUUGAUUGUCUUGGUUUUCCAACACUCCUAUUAUUUUCCGACCCAUAGGAGCAGCUAUAUGAAUGUUAAGGACAGAACAAGUUCUUCAUAAGGGAGAUUUUGAUCAAUCUGUUUCCCUGUUAAAUUCCUUUACGUGAUUUUUUAAUAUUAGCCUGCUAUAGCCUUAAUAAUUUCAAAUGUAGGAUGCAAGGAUCAAUAUUCCUCAGCCCCACACGAGGUGGUUUUGGAAUUGGAAUGUUUUGGCCUGCUGAGUUCUAAAUCUAUUAUUUUCAGAUGAACCGUGUUUCAUCAUCUCUAAGGAGAAGCGAUUUCGAACUCUCAUUGACUUAUUCACUAAUAUGUCUGUCAUUUUAAUACCAUUUUGGCUGUCCUAAAUCCAAAAUAUGAUUUGCCCAUGCAGAUAAAUACGACAAGCGAUUCCUUUUCCUUGAGUCUUUGCUGUAAAAAGGCGGUUUUAUUUUUCCAUAUAACUUUUAAGCCUUUUCUAUUGCCCUUUCCAUGUUACUAGUUCUGUAUUUUAUGAUUUUGCAGAAAAUCCAAGGCCUUUAUGAAGUUACUUUCAGAGCCUUGCUAGAUCAAAAGUGGAAGUACCACAUUACAGUAAAAAAGGAUUUUUUCAAUCCAAUUUUUCCCUGUUUGAUAAUUUAGAGUAGUCUACAACAAUGGAUUUACCAUAAUCGUUUGGAUAUCUAGAAUCUAAAGACCAGGUUUCUUCAAAUCCCAAUGCAUUUUGGUCGGGGGACGGUAACUCUAAGUAUUUUCUUACAAUCUUGUGCUGUCGUUUUCCUCUGGUCAUGGUUUCUGAAUUUUUAUCAGGUGAUGCCUUCAUGUAAAAUUUUGCAGAACAUAGUUUGGGUUCUUCUAAUACGUUCGGCACUUUUUUCGUAAGACUAUGGUUCAUCGAAUUGGAGCUUUUCACCUUAUAUUUUUGAUGCAGUACAUUACAAUUUUGCAGAACAUAGUCUGGUCACAGGAAUAAUCUCUUCUCACAGGAAUAGUGUCAUGAUUUGCACACGCCCAUGGUUUUCGACUUGCAUCGUUUGAUAUAUAUGAAGGGGGAUUUUAUACCUACGAUUUUUUGACACUUCCUUUUAUUGACACUUCUGGGAUUUACAAAUCUAAGAUUCAUUUUUUCCUUCUGCAGAUUAAUAUCUUUGAGUGUCAUUUCCCAGUAUGCUAGUGGUAAAACAUUGGGUUUUACGAUUGUCUUGGUUUUCCAACACUCCUAUUAUUUUCCGACCCAUAGGAGCAGCUAUAUGAAUGUUAAGGACAGAACAAGUUCUUCAUAAGGGAGAUUUUGAUCAAUCUGUUUCCCUGUUAAAUUCCUUUACGUUAUUUUUUAAUAUUAGCCUGCAGUAGCUUUAAUAAUUUCAAAUGUAGGAUGCAAGGAUCAAUAUUCCUCAGCCCCACACGAGGUGGUUUUGGAAUUGGAAUGUUUUGGCCUGCUGAGUUCUAAAUCUAUUAUUUUCAGAUGAACCGUGUUUCAUCAUCUCUAAGGAGAAGCGAUUUCGAACUCUCAUUGACUUAUUCACUAAUAUGUCUGUCAUUUGAAUACCAUUUUGGCUGUCCUAAAUUCAUAAUAUGAUUUGCCCAUGCAGAUAAACACGACAAGCGAUUCCUUUUCCUUGAGUCUUUGCUAUAAAAAGGCGGUUUUAUUUUUCCAUAUAACUUUUAAGCCUUUUCUAUUGCCCUUUCCAUGUUACUAGUUCUGUAUUUUAUGAUUUUGCAGAAAAUCCAAGGCCUUUAUGAAGUUACUUUAAGAGCCUUGCUAGUUCAAAAGUGGAAGUACCACAUUACAGUAAAAAAGGAUUUUUUCAAUCCAAUUUUUCCCUGUUUGAUAAUUUAGAGUAGUCUACAACAAUGGAUUUACCAUAAUCGUUUUGAUAUCUAGAAUCUAAAGACCUGGUUUCUUCAAAUCCCAAUACAUUUUGGACGUGGGACGGUAACUCUAAGUAUUUUCUUACAAUCUUGUGCUGUCGUUUUCCUCUGGCCAUGGUUUCUGAAUUUUUAUCAGGUGAUGCCUUCUUGUAAAAUUUUGCAGAACAUAGUUUGGGUUCUUCUAACACGUUCGGCAGUUUUUUCGUAAGACUAUGGUUCAUCGAAUUGGAGCUUUUCACCUUAUAUUUUUGAUGCAGUACCGUACAAUUUUGCAGAACAUAGUCUGGUCACAGGAAUAAUCUCUUCUCACAGGAAUAGUGUCAUGAUUUGCACGCCCAUGGUUUUCGAUUUGCAUCGUUUGAUAUAUAUGAAGGGGGAUUUUAUACCUACGAUUUUUUGACACUUCCUUUUAUUGACACUUCUGGGAUUUACAAAUCUAAGAUUCAUUUUUUCCUUCUGCAGAUUAAUAUCUUUGAUUGUCUUGGUUUUCCAACACUCCUAUUAUUUUCCGACCCAUAGGAGCAGCUAUAUGAAUGUUAAGGACAGAACAAGUUCUUCAUAAGGGAGAUUUUGAUCAAUCUAUUUCCCUGUUAAAUUCCUUUACCUGAUUUUUUAAUAUUAGCCUGCAGUAGCCUUAAUAAUUUCAAAUGUAGGAUGCAAGGAUCAAUAUUCCUCAGCCCCACACGAGGUGGUUUUGGAAUUGGAAUGUUUUGGCCUGCUGAGUUCUAAAUCUAUUAUUUUCAGAUGAACCGUGUUUCAUCAUCUCUAAGGAGAAGCGAUUUCGAACUCUCAUUGACUUAUUCACUAAUAUGUCUGUCAUUUUAAUACCAUUUUGGCUGUCCUAAAUCCAAAAUAUGAUUUGCCCAUGCAGAUAAAUACGACAAGCGAUUCCUUUUCCUUGAGUCUUUGCUGUAAAAAGGCGGUUUUAUUUUUCCAUAUAACUUUUAAGCCUUUUCUAUUGCCCUUUCCAUGUUACUAGUUCUGUAUUUUAUGAUUUUGCAGAAAAUCCAAGGCCUUUAUGAAGUUA